This is an RNase P RNA of 390 nucleotides. It matches the Rfam family "Bacterial RNase P class B". From Rfam's summary of the family: Ribonuclease P (RNase P) is a ubiquitous endoribonuclease, found in archaea, bacteria and eukarya as well as chloroplasts and mitochondria. Its best characterised activity is the generation of mature 5'-ends of tRNAs by cleaving the 5'-leader elements of precursor-tRNAs.
GUGAUUGGGUAACCGCUACAGUUUAUCUGUAGAGGAAAGUCCAUGCUCGCACAGGCUGUGAUGCCUGUAGUGUUCGUGCCUAGCGAAAAAAUAAGCUAGGGUAGUCUGGUUUAUACUGGGCUAACGGCAGGGAAAGCACCUAAGUCGAGAGAUAUGGUGUGAAUACCUUGAAAGUGCCACAGUGACGUAGUCCGGCAAGAAAUUGCAGGAGUGGAACGCGGUAAACCCCUCGAGCGAGAAACCCAAACAAUGGUAGGGGCACCUUCUCUAUGGAAUCCGAACGAAUGAGAAGGACAGAUGAUCUUAUAUUAUCUGUAGACAGAUGGUUACCACCUGAGUACAAGGAGCAAUCCGUUUGCAGUACAAAGGAACAGAACAUGGCUUACAGAU